AGACGGUAAGGGUCGUACAGAGAGGCACCGCGUGAAGUCUCUUGACGCGGGGGAGGGGAGAAGAGCGUCAGCUGCUCAACUCUGCGCUGAAACUUGGUACUAGUUUGACACCUGACGAGCGCACGCACAGCCCCGAGGAUGGAUUCCCGAGCGUACGACAAUACGGCACGUUUUUCUGCGACGAUUCCCUCUUCACGGUCGUUGUCUCUCGCAUCCUCAUCUGCGAAGGCCACGGCGAACUCGGCAGUGGCGAGGGGGAGCAAUAAUGGCUCGCUGCCGCCGAGCAGCGCCGAUUUUCCUGCCAUUGGCAACUGUGGGGGGCCGUUGGCGGACGACGGAGGCGGUGUCCACAGGAAUUAUGCAGCUUCCAGAGUGCUGUUUCCCAAAUCGACGACUGCCGCCAUGUGGCCGAUGCUGAUGGCACUCUCCCCGGCAGAGGCCGAUCGUGCCAGCGACGCCUCCAGCAGGUACAACCAAUACUCCUCUCACACCUCCCCUUCCACGGAUGCUGCUCUUCCACAGCCACACGGAGGGUCGCCGCUUCACCUUUUGCGCUGCAGUGGGGAUCAGGAGGGGCCGGCCCGUUGCGACAGUGGCGGUGGCUCAGGCCUCGGGCAAGGUGUCCGAGCAGACUCACCCUCAUUGGUAUUUCCGCUGCCUGUGGUGCCGCAGACGCAGUUGUCGCUGUUGCCGUCGCAGCUGAGGCCCACGGCGGAAGAAGCGCGGUCGAACUGGGGGCAUGCAUGCCAGGCGUCCUUAUCUCCGCGCAGCAUCAGUGGAAAUGAGCGCGUGGACAGCGGCACCCCCUCACCUCAACAGCCGCUGCCGCCGCAGCGCAUGAAAACGUCGUACGCUGUACACCGUGUGCUACCCCGCAUGGCGCACCCGCAGUUCACCAACAAUCCGCACAUCUUGUUCCCGCAGCACGGCACAUCGAAAUCGGGUUCCUCUACCCACACCUCGCAACCCUGCUCACCGCCUCUGCCACCCCUCAGCAACACCGUAGAUGUGGCGGCGGUCCCCUGCGAACCGUCAAUGGCUGCUGCCACGAUGGACUUGCAUCCCAUGCGGGAAAAAGUAAACGGCAAUGGCGUCACGUCGCCGCCGCUCUCACAGAAGAUUCAUCGAUCACUACUCCACCAGACUGCUUCUCUGAGCACGCUGGACUUUGUAGCUUUACCGUCUCGUGCUCAGAUGCCGGCAGAACUCACAGAAGCAGAAUCGCCCACGCAACCUCCCGAGGCGCUCAGCGCGAAGCCCGACUUCGUGUUCGACUGCGCCGCCAGGGCCCCCGUAGCGACGAUUCCGCUGCUCCUUCCCGCGUCUGCCGCCGACAUUGCCGUGGUGCCGUCUACGUCGACCUCAUGCUCUUCGCAGCUGGAGGAGGGCAGUGGACCGCUGCUCGGUGUAGCGAUGCAGCAGCGGAAGCCGCACACAUUGCUGGCGUCAGCUCUUGCCUUCGCCAAUCUGCAUAACGGCGAAGACAAGAGAAAUGUAAGCGGGGCCUUUACGCCCUGUCUUAUGGCGGUGCUUUCGCCAUUAAACCAACAGCCACGCCACCACCAACACAAUCAACCUUCCGCAGUGGCGCUUUCCAAGGCGGCGACGCCGGUGAUGAGCGGCGGCUACGGUACGCGAGACUUUCAGCGCGGGACAUGGGUGUUCCUGCUCGCCCGCCAGGAGCGCCUAGCGCGCGAGCUACUUGAGGCUGAGGAAACGAGCGAGGCGCUUCGGUGUUUGCCGGCGUCAUACGCGGCGUGGCGCACCUACUACCGCCAUACCUUGGGCAGCGCCGAAUGCGGUGCUGUGCACCUGACUAGCAGCACAGAUAUGGGCAUGUCCCUGUCUUCAGGCGUAUCCACCGCAUUGACAGCGCAGUUCGCCCCAUCCACCAUGAUGCUGUCCGAUACGGGCGACGCGGAUGCUUCCUGCGAGGCGACUGAUAGCGCAUCUCUUUCGCACUGUCGUCUUGCGGACAAGGCGGAAGGGAAGCAGAAAGGCAAGAAACCACUCACGCUACCCCCACACCCGGCGUUCGCGGUGGCUGCCUACCGGCUUGAACUCCUGGAGAGCAUCCUCGGUGACGAAAUCAGGACAGAGGAGGACGAAGCAUUUCACGUCUGCCUUGAGAAGCCGUUCAAGUACGAGCAUCGACUGCUCACCGUCGGCACGUUGCCGCUUGAGCGGUUCCUGCGCAGCUGGAUCGCCAGUCACCGUGCGCGAAGGCUGCGCCGCGCCCUCCAGCGGAGUAAGGUAUGGGACCUGGAGCAGGAGGCCCGUGCCGCACUACAUGCGACGAGCAAAACGCUGCAGCGGCGCUUCCAGCUGAUGGUGACGGCUCUUGUCGAGCAAGAGCAUUACUACCGCCGCGCUUUGGAGCUUCUGUACGCGCAGGAUGCGGCGUGGACUGGGGUGGUGUUGCUGCGCUUGCAGGAACAGGUCGAGUGCUUCCCACUUGCGUUCGGCGCCGUCAUGAGUAGAGCGCGCGUAUGUGGGCGAAUGAAAGGUGCGACCCUGUUCUCCAACCUUGCGCUGGCCGAGCAGGCAAUUCGCGAAACGAUCAGCGGCGAGGAAGCACGGCACCGUGCUGCAUUCCCGACCGAGCUCGAAAUGCGCGGAGUAAGCCGUAUGCAAGAACCACAGGCACGCAAGAAACUUGUCGAUCGCGAAGCUGCCGAGCGCGCCGUGGUGCAUCAAGUCGUGUGCGCGCUGCAGACUCACUACAGCCUCCGGGAGGUGGAUAUCGAGGAGGGCAUUGAGCGCCAACACUGGCUGAAGCAGCCGAUGCAAAAUCGCGUCGAUUCCGUCGUUGCGAGCGCAACGCCGCCGCCCCUGCGUCGUGAUGUUGUCGCAUCCGAGGUGGAGCUGUGAGGCUGCAGGAACAGAAAACUGGGCAACGGGUGCGCGCCCGUCUUCUUCGCUUCUCUUUCGCUGGCGUACACGUACAUGCACCGCCGCGCUAUGCACAUUCAGAAUUAUUCCUCCGGGUCUGUGAUGUGGCGCACGUGAGUGAGGGCGUUGCUGAUGCCCUUCUCUGUGCAUGUGCAUGCGUUUGUACCGCCUCGCUCGUAUCUUCGUCUGUGUCACUCCUCUUCCCUUGUUUCUCUUGACGAGGAACCAAGCGAAGAAGCGAUCCAACCGACGAACCACAGCGUCGGUCUGUCGGUCUGUCUCUCUCUCUCUUCCAUGAAACUUUAUUUCACAUGUACAGGUGUAACACGUCUCUCUCGAUGUGGAUCUUGCUGCUGUCUCUGAGUUUGCGCACGCACGCACGUACGUUUGUGUGUGUGUGUGUGUGUGUCACAUCGAGCAGCGAAAACGCUGCGCGAAAAAAAAAAACAGCAAUGCCGCCCUCCCCCCCCAAAAAAAAGAAAACAUGCGCUUCCUCAACCUGCACGAACGUGCCGCUGCUCCUGUGUAUUAGUUGGUAGGUGGUGAGCGAGAGAGAUGCAGGGAGAAAUUGUGAGUGCCUCUCUCUUUCGGACAUGAACUUCACGGGGAAGCCAACAGGACGGGAGGAUGCCUACCCGGGUUUACUCCGUCUUUUCACAGCAUACCGGCCCUAUUCAACUUGCACAAGCGACAACGUGUGAGCUCGCUUCCCAUGAUGUGCUGUGUGCUAGUAGAAUACGCCUACGUGCGACAGCGACAAGAUGCCUUCUUCUCCAGCUGCUCUUAGAGCUCUCAGUCCCCCCUCCACACACACACACACACACCGUUGCGCUCUUGUUCCUUGCCCUCUGUCUGUGUGUGCGAAUGAGUCUCCUACGGAUCCCUUUAACGCCUCGCAGAGCUCUCUCCCUCUCCUGCCGCUGUUCGACGGCAUCGCGCACACACACGCAAAAACAC
This 3849-nucleotide unclassified non-coding RNA is filed under the name Leishmania donovani. RNAcentral describes it as "gene:LdHU3.33.4050(CDS-product:hypothetical_prote in_conserved)". The record is from RNAcentral. Lineage: Eukaryota; Euglenozoa; Kinetoplastea; Trypanosomatida; Trypanosomatidae.